UUGGACCUGAUAUCAGGCAAGAUUACCCGCUGAACUUAAGCAUAU
RNAcentral lists this ribosomal RNA (45 nucleotides) under Phytophthora ramorum (sudden oak death agent). RNAcentral describes it as "partial 28S ribosomal RNA". Lineage: Eukaryota; Oomycota; Peronosporomycetes; Peronosporales; Peronosporaceae. The record is from RNAcentral. RNAcentral also lists the same sequence under 2 other names.